RNAcentral lists this transfer RNA (73 nucleotides) under Candidatus Melainabacteria bacterium. RNAcentral describes it as "tRNA-Arg". It matches the Rfam family "tRNA". Rfam says of the family: Transfer RNA (tRNA) molecules are approximately 80 nucleotides in length. Lineage: Bacteria; Bacillati; Candidatus Melainabacteria. RNAcentral also lists the same sequence under 4 other names. The record is from RNAcentral.
GCGCUCGUAGCUCAGUGGAUAGAGCCCCCGCCUUCUAAGCGGGUUGUCGUUGGUUCGAAUCCAACCGAGCGCG